This 72-nucleotide transfer RNA is filed under the name Poicephalus gulielmi gulielmi. RNAcentral describes it as "tRNA-Val". Lineage: Eukaryota; Metazoa; Chordata; Aves; Psittaciformes; Psittacidae. The record is from RNAcentral.
CAAGGCGUAGCUACAACACAAAGCAUUCAGCUUACACCUGAAAGAUAUCUGCCACCUACCAGAUCGCCUUGA